RNAcentral lists this long non-coding RNA (616 nucleotides) under Homo sapiens (human). RNAcentral describes it as "HSALNT0206541". The record is from RNAcentral. Lineage: Eukaryota; Metazoa; Chordata; Mammalia; Primates; Hominidae.
UCUCUUUGAAGCUUUAAAAAAAAAAUUUUCUCGUUGAGGAAUAAACUAUGAAGAGGGCUUCUAUUAUUUCCCUGUGGGUGAAACUGACAGAGGCAAUGGUUCACUAACUUUCCCUGGUGUUGCAUCGUUUGCAGCAAGUAAGGUGCAGCCCAUGGUGUCUGAAGUGGAGGUGCUUUCCGGGCAGGAAGUGGACACAUGAUAUGGCUCCUUAAGCGAGACUGUCCUAGACACCUAAUCUAAAGCAAAUAAUGUUUCAGUAUCCUCAGGUAGAGAGCCUACAUUCCUAAAAGCUUUCUUGGGCAAGAAAGGGGUCAGCAAAAAUAGCCAAAAUAAAGCAGCAAACCAGAUAAGACUAUCUCAUGACAGACCUAAGAACUGCUUGGCAGCGAUAGUCAAUCUCGGGAAAUGUUUGGUGAACACAGGCACCUUAAAAGGAAGCAGGGGUGCUCCUGAGGGUAUUGGUCUCAUGGAAACAAAAUAUUGAUCAGGGAGGGCCAUAGUUGUGAUUUCCACCCACAAUCAAGCAUGACAAUAACAAAGGAAGGAGACAAAAGCCCACGGCCGGCCUCAAUGUCAUGGUGCCAUUGAGACAAGACAUGGAAUCUCAAUAUGUUCU